AGGGAAUCUUCGGCAAUGGGGGCAACCCUGACCGAGCAACGCCGCGUGAGUGAAGAAGGUUUUCGGAUCGUAAAGCUCUGUUGUAAGUCAAGAACGGGUGUGAGAGUGGAAAGUUCACACUGUGACGGUAGCUUACCAGAAAGGGACGGCUAACUACGUGCCAGCAGCCGCGGUAAUACGUAGGUCCCGAGCGUUGUCCGGAUUUAUUGGGCGUAAAGCGAGCGCAGGCGGUUUGAUAAGUCUGAAGUUAAAGGCUGUGGCUCAACCAUAGUUCGCUUUGGAAACUGUCAAACUUGAGUGCAGAAGGGGAGAGUGGAAUUCCAUGUGUAGCGGUGAAAUGCGUAGAUAUAUGGAGGAACACCGGUGGCGAAAGCGGCUCUCUGGUCUGUAACUGACGCUGAGGCUCGAAAGCGUGGGGAGCGAACAGGAUUAGAUACCCUGGUAGUCCACGCCGUAAACGAUGAGUGCUAGGUGUUGGAUCCUUUCCGGGAUUCAGUGCCGCAGCUACGCAUUAAGCACUCCGCCUGGGGAGUACGACCGCAAGGUUGAAACUCUAAAGUGAAUUGAC
RNAcentral lists this ribosomal RNA (568 nucleotides) under uncultured bacterium. Its description in RNAcentral is "partial 16S ribosomal RNA". It matches the Rfam family "Bacterial small subunit ribosomal RNA", at positions 356 to 914 of the family's 1533-position model. The record is from RNAcentral.